UGGAGGGGGAUAACUACUGGAAACGGUGGCUAAUACCGCAUAACGUCGCAAGACCAAAGAGGGGGACCUUCGGGCCUCUUGCCAUCAGAUGUGCCCAGAUGGGAUUAGCUUGUUGGUGAGGUAACGGCUCACCAAGGCGACGAUCCCUAGCUGGUCUGAGAGGAUGACCAGCCACACUGGAACUGAGACACGGUCCAGACUCCUACGGGAGGCAGCAGUGGGGAAUAUUGCACAAUGGGCGCAAGCCUGAUGCAGCCAUGCCGCGUGUAUGAAGAAGGCCUUCGGGUUGUAAAGUACUUUCAGCGGGGAGGAAGGUGUUGUGGUUAAUAACCGCAGCAAUUGACGUUACCCGCAGAAGAAGCACCGGCUAACUCCGUGCCAGCAGCCGCGGUAAUACGGAGGGUGCAAGCGUUAAUCGGAAUUACUGGGCGUAAAGCGCACGCAGGCGGUCUGUCAAGUCGGAUGUGAAAUCCCCGGGCUCAACCUGGGAACUGCAUUCGAAACUGGCAGGCUUGAGUCUUGUAGAGGGGGGUAGAAUUCCAGGUGUAGCGGUGAAAUGCGUAGAGAUCUGGAGGAAUACCGGUGGCGAAGGCGGCCCCCUGGACAAAGACUGACGCUCAGGUGCGAAAGCGUGGGGAGCAAACAGGAUUAGAUACCCUGGUAGUCCACGCCGUAAACGAUGUCUACUUGGAGGUUGUGCCCUUGAGGCGUGGCUUCCGGAGCUAACGCGUUAAGUAGACCGCCUGGGGAGUACGGCCGCAAGGUUAAAACUCAAAUGAAUUGACGGGGGCCCGCACAAGCGGUGGAGCAUGUGGUUUAAUUCGAUGCAACGCGAAGAACCUUACCUGGUCUUGACAUCCACAGAACUUUCCAGAGAUGGAUUGGUGCCUUCGGGAACUGUGAGACAGGUGCUGCAUGGCUGUCGUCAGCUCGUGUUGUGAAAUGUUGGGUUAAGUCCCGCAACGAGCGCAAC
RNAcentral lists this ribosomal RNA (973 nucleotides) under Salmonella enterica subsp. enterica. Its description in RNAcentral is "bacterial SSU rRNA". It matches the Rfam family "Bacterial small subunit ribosomal RNA", at positions 134 to 1102 of the family's 1533-position model. The record is from RNAcentral. Lineage: Bacteria; Pseudomonadati; Pseudomonadota; Gammaproteobacteria; Enterobacterales; Enterobacteriaceae.